GUCUAUGGCCAUACCACCCUGAAUGUGCCCGAUCUCGUCUGAUCUCGGAAGCUAAGCAGAGUCAGGCCUGGUUAGUACUUGGAUGGGAGA
Molecule: ribosomal RNA, 90 nt
Filed under: Ailuropoda melanoleuca (giant panda)
Lineage: Eukaryota; Metazoa; Chordata; Mammalia; Carnivora; Ursidae
Source: RNAcentral